CGGGAGGAGCAGUGGGCUAUGCGCAAUGGGCGAAAGCCUGACGCAGCGACGCCUCGUGAGGGAUGAAGGUCUUCGGAUCGUAAACCUCUGUCAAGAGGGAAGAAACCCUUGGGUUCGAAUAGGGCCCUUGGCUGACGGUACCUCAAAAGGAAGCACCGGCUAACUCCGUGCCAGCAGCCGCGGUAAUACGGAGGGUGCAAUGCGUUAAUCGGAAUCACUGGGCGUAAAGCGCUCGUAGGCUGUUUGGUAAGUCAGACGUGAAAGCCCUCGGCUCAACCGGGGAACUGCGUUUGAUACUGCCAGACUUGAGUGUCGGAGAGGGUGGCGGAAUUCCGGGUGUAGGAGUGAAAUCCGUAGAUAUCCGGAGGAACACCAGUGGCGAAGGCGGCCACCUGGACGACAACUGACGCUGAGGAGCGAAAGCGUGGGGAGCAAACAGGAAUUAGAUACCCUGGUAGUUCCACGCGGUAAACGAUGGAUGCUGGGUGUCGGGGGUUUACCUUCGGUGCCGCAGUUAACGCGUUAAGCAUCCCGCCUGGGGAGUACGGUCGCAAGGCUGAAACUCAAAGGAAAUUGACCGGGGGGCCCGCACAAGCGGUGGAGUAUGUGGGUUUAAUUCGAUGCAACGCGAAAGAACCUUACCUAGGCUUGACAUCCCUACGACCUCUUGGAAACUUGAGGGUGCCCUUCGGGGAGCGUAGAGACAGGUGCUGCAUGGCUGUCGUCAGCUCGUGCCGUGAGGUGUUGGGUUAAGUCCCGCAACGAGCGCAACCCCUAUCACUAGUUGCCAUCAGGUAAUGGCUGGGAACUCUAGUGAAACUGCCGUCGCAAGACGUGGAGGAAGGAGGGGAUGAUAGUCAAGUCAUCAUGGCCUUUAUGCCCUGGGCUACACACGUGCUACAAUGGGCGCUACAAAGGGUCGCAACAUGGCGACAUGAAGCUAAUCCCAAAAAAGGCGCUCUCAGGUUCGGAUCGCAGUCUGCAACUCGACUGCGUGAAGCUGGAAUCGCUAGUAAUC
RNAcentral lists this ribosomal RNA (1018 nucleotides) under uncultured Desulfovibrio sp. RNAcentral describes it as "bacterial SSU rRNA". It matches the Rfam family "Bacterial small subunit ribosomal RNA", at positions 342 to 1343 of the family's 1533-position model. Lineage: Bacteria; Pseudomonadati; Thermodesulfobacteriota; Desulfovibrionia; Desulfovibrionales; Desulfovibrionaceae. The record is from RNAcentral.